This 1428-nucleotide ribosomal RNA is filed under the name uncultured organism. Its description in RNAcentral is "partial small subunit ribosomal RNA". It matches the Rfam family "Bacterial small subunit ribosomal RNA". The record is from RNAcentral.
UGCGGCGUGCUUAACACAUGCAAGUCGAACGGAAAGGCCCUGCUUUUGUGGGGUGCUCGAGUGGCGAACGGGUGAGUAACACGUGAGUAACCUGCCCUUGACUUUGGGAUAACUUCAGGAAACUGGGGCUAAUACCGGAUAGGAGCUCCUGCUGCAUGGUGGGGGUUGGAAAGUUUCGGCGGUUGGGGAUGGACUCGCGGCUUAUCAGCUUGUUGGUGGGGUAGUGGCUUACCAAGGCUUUGACGGGUAGCCGGCCUGAGAGGGUGACCGGCCACAUUGGGACUGAGAUACGGCCCAGACUCCUACGGGAGGCAGCAGUGGGGAAUAUUGCACAAUGGGCGGAAGCCUGAUGCAGCAACGCCGCGUGCGGGAUGACGGCCUUCGGGUUGUAAACCGCUUUCGCCUGUGACGAAGCGUGAGUGACGGUAAUGGGUAAAGAAGCACCGGCUAACUACGUGCCAGCAGCCGCGGUGAUACGUAGGGUGCGAGCGUUGUCCGGAUUUAUUGGGCGUAAAGGGCUCGUAGGUGGUUGAUCGCGUCGGAAGUGUAAUCUUGGGGCUUAACCCUGAGCGUGCUUUCGAUACGGGUUGACUUGAGGAAGGUAGGGGAGAAUGGAAUUCCUGGUGGAGCGGUGGAAUGCGCAGAUAUCAGGAGGAACACCAGUGGCGAAGGCGGUUCUCUGGGCCUUUCCUGACGCUGAGGAGCGAAAGCGUGGGGAGCGAACAGGCUUAGAUACCCUGGUAGUCCACGCUGUAAACGGUGGGUACUAGGUGUGGGGUCCAUUCCACGGGUUCCGUGCCGUAGCUAACGCUUUAAGUACCCCGCCUGGGGAGUACGGCCGCAAGGCUAAAACUCAAAGGAAUUGACGGGGCCCCGCACAAGCGGCGGAGCAUGCGGAUUAAUUCGAUGCAACGCGUAGAACCUUACCUGGGUUUGACAUGGAUCGGGAGUGCUCAGAGAUGGGUGUGCCUCUUUUGGGGUCGGUUCACAGGUGGUGCAUGCCUGUCGUCAGCUCGUGUCGUGAGAUGUUGGGUUAAGUCCCGCAACGAGCGCAACCCUUGUUCACUGUCGCCAGCACGUUAUGGUGGGGACUCAGUGGAGACCGCCGGGGUCAACUCGGAGGAAGGUGGGGAUGACGUCAAGUCCUCAUGCCCCUUAUGUCCAGGGCUUCACGCAUGCUGCAAUGGCUGGUACAGAGAGUGGCGAGCCUGUGAGGGUGAGCGAAUCUCGGAAAGCCGGUCUCAGUUCGGAUUGGGGUCUGCAACUCGACCUCAUGAAGUCGGAGUCGCUAGUAAUCGCAGAUCAGCAACGCUGCGGUGAAUACGUUCCCGGGGCUUGUACACACCGCCCGUCAAGUCAUGAAAGUUGGUAACACCCGAAGCCGGUGGCCUAACCGUUAAGGGGGAGCCGUCGAAGGUGGGACUGGUG